UCUGUGGCCCACUGGUGUAACCGUUCGACCAACAACUCGGCGGUCCGGGUUCGAUUCCCGUCCA
Molecule: transfer RNA, 64 nt
Filed under: Chattonella subsalsa
Lineage: Eukaryota; Raphidophyceae; Chattonellales; Chattonellaceae
Source: RNAcentral